AAUAUCAAACCAUUAAAACUCCAUAUCCAAUCCUCUAGUGGCUCUAUCCCCCCUUUCUGCCUUCUGCAGCAAAACUGAUGUUUUGUCAUGCUCAUAUUUGAUCUCACACCUAUAUAAACACACACUUUAUAUCUUCUUCUGAUAAUAAUUGUUGAUUUAACAGCACAUUAUUUUUCACAUUCUCUCUCUCAUCUUUCCCUUUGAACAACAAGAGAGAGAGAGACAGAUCCAACGGCGGGAAAUAUAUUUCAUUUGUAGAAUUUAUAGUGAAAAAACUUUCACAAACAUUUUCUCAAACAGUUUACGAACACUUUUUCAUCUUCUCUCUUUCUCUCUCAGAAACUUCAAAACCCUAAAAUUCUCGAAUUCCUCUUUCAUCUUCUUCUUCUUCUUCUUCUUCUUCUUCUUCUUCAAUGGCGCUUCCUCCACAACCCGAAUCCAACAAUGGAGGAAUUGUCGCCAACGCCACCGAAGAAACCGACGGAACUCCCAUUCGUUACCUUCCUCUCGAUCAUCUCUACUCCGCUACGUCACCUUGUAGCGGUUCAUCCAAUGUCAUGUCCAAAAAAGUUAAAGCACGAAAACUCUCCAACAACAACAACGAAGACAGCGAGAUUCAGUUCAGUAAUGGUGAAAUCGAUGAUUCCCCGAUUGAAAUUGAAAAAACCUUGUCGAAGAUGACGUUGUUUUCUGUGGAGGAUUAUCCUAAACCGCCGCUUUUGUUUGUUUACACGCGCCGGAGACGGAAGAGAAGUUCAAUUGAGGUUGAUUGUGAGAGGACGGUGUUGAAGAGGAGGAGAAUUGGGAGUAAUGAGUUGGAGAGAUUAGGGAUUGAUUUGAAUUUGAUUGGGAAAAUUGAUGAUGGUCCUGGAUUGAGAAAAUGUCGAAAUCAAAUUGGGAAUUUUUCUGAGAAUUGUGAUUCUGUUGCUAAGAAUUCAAAGUUGGUGCCUGAAUCUUACACAUUGAAGAGAUGGGUCGGGUUGAGUUUUGAUGAUGCCAAUCCGGAGGCUUUUGUUGGUUUGAAAUGCAAGGUUUACUGGCCCAUGGAUUUAAAAUCAUACACUGGCCUUGUCAAAAGUUACGACAGAGAAGCUAAGAUACAUCAUAUCGAGUAUGAUGAUGGAGAAGAGGAAAAUUUAAUUCUUUCAAAUGAAAAUGUAAAAUACCAUGUUUCCCGUAAUGACAUGGAACGUUUAAAAUUGAGUUACGCCAAAGUUCAUGACAAUAAUGUCUCUGAUUAUAAUGUUGAAGAGAUGCUCGCACUGGCUGCAAGUAUGAAUGAUUGUCAAGACUUUGAGCCCGGGGAUAUAGUAUGGGCUAAGCUUACAGGUUAUGCUAUGUGGCCAGCAGUUGUUCUGGAUGAAUCACUUGCUAGCAGCUGUAAGGGUUUAAAAACGUUCAUAGGGGGGAGAUCAGUUCCUGUCCAAUUUUUUGGCACCCAUGACUUUGCAAGAGUUCGAGUGCAACAGGUGAAAUCAUUUCUCAGUGGACUUCUAACAGAUCUACACUCAAAGUGCAAGAAACCGAGUUUCAUUGAAGGUUUAGAAGAGGCAAAAAGGUAUCUAAGCGCACAGAAGCUUCCUUUGGGGAUGAUAGAAUUGAGGAAAAGAUAUGACUGUAACAAUGUAAGUGGAGAGGAUGGAGGAUGUUCAGAUUCGGGUGAAGACUAUGUAAGUGACAAAGGGGCUUGGGCAGCACUUCAAAAGAUCGACACCUUUCCUUAUGAAGUGGGAGACUUGCAAAUUCUAAACCUUGGAAAAAUAGUUGGAGAUUCUACAGCUUUUCGGGAUGGAAGAUCCAUCUGGCCUGAAGGGUACACAGCAGUGAGGAAGUUCACUUCAGUUACUGACCCUGAAGUAUCUGUCCCUUACAAGAUGGAGGUUUUGAGAGAUCCAGAAUCCAGAUUCAGACCACUAUUUAGAGUGACAGUUGAUGGUGGUGAGCAGUUCAAUGGUUAUAAACCAUCUACUUGCUGGAAUCAAGUAUAUGAAAGGAUAAAGAAAUUGAAAAAGGCCGUUUCUGAAGGUUCUGUUGUUGACAGCGUGGUAGAAAGUGGCUACGAGUCUGGCUCAGAUAUGUUUGGUUUCUCCAAUCCUGAAGUGGCUAAACUUAUAAAGGGAUUAUCUAAAUCCAAAGUCUCUUUGAAGAAAUCAAGUUGCAAGUCAGGUUCCAGAUUGCCUGUUGGUUAUAGGCAGGUUCAUAUUAAUUGGUUUGAUCUCGAUAAGUGCAAUGUGUGUCAUAUGGAUGAGGAGUACGAGAACAAUCUCUUUCUGCAGUGCGACAAAUGCAGAAUGAUGGUCCAUGCUAGAUGCUAUGGAGAACAUGAACCUGUUAAUGGAGUGCUAUGGUUAUGCAACUUAUGUCGUUCGGGUGCUCCUCCCCCACCUUGUUGCUUAUGUCCACUCAUAGGUGGUGCAAUGAAGCCUACAACGGAUGGCCGAUGGGCUCAUUUGGCUUGUGCCAUGUGGAUACCUGAAACUUGCUUAGCUGAUGUCAAGAGAAUGGAGCCUAUUGAUGGUUUGAGGAGAAUCAGUAAGGACCGUUGGAAGUUGUUAUGCAGCAUAUGUGGUGUAUCUUAUGGUGCUUGCAUCCAAUGUUCAAACAAUUCUUGUCGAGUAGCAUAUCAUCCACUCUGUGCACGUGCAGCUGGUCUUUGUGUUGAGCUUGAGAACGAGGAUAGGCUCUACCUACUUUCUGUAGAUGAUGAUGAGGAUCAGUGCAUCCGCUUACUUUCUUUCUGCAAGAAACAUAGGCAGCCAUCUCAUGAUCAUUCUGUUGCUGAUGAACGUGUCCAGGUUAUUGGUCAAUGUUCAGACUAUGAACCACCACCCAAUCCAUCUGGGUGUGCCCGAAGUGAACCAUACGAUUACUUUGGUAGGAGAGGCCGAAAAGAACCUGAAGCACUUGCAGCUUCAUCGCUGAAACGUUUAUUUGUGGAGAAUCAACCUUACUUAGUUGGUGGAUACUGCCAACAUGGAUUGUUGAACGACUCAGAGCCUUCUGGUAGAGGCGUCUGCUCAAAAUUCUUUUGUAGUGAACAAAGGCUGAGAACCUCUAUGGUUGAUGCUGCAGACAGCAUACUUACUGUUGCCGAGAAAUACAAGUACAUGAGCGAAACCUUUCGGAAACAGUUGGCGUUUGGGAAAUCAAGAAUUCAUGGAUUUGGUAUCUUUGCAAAGCAUCCAUAUAAAGGUGGAGACAUGGUGAUCGAAUACACCGGUGAACUUGUUAGACCUCCUAUAGCUGACCGGAGAGAGCGUUUUAUAUACAAUUCUUUGGUGGGUGCUGGAACGUAUAUGUUUCGAAUUGAUGAUGAACGAGUCAUUGAUGCCACUAGAGCAGGAAGCAUUGCUCAUUUAAUUAAUCAUUCCUGCGCACCAAAUUGCUAUUCAAGAGUCAUUAGUGUUAACGGCGAUGAGCAUAUUAUAAUAUUUGCCAAGAGGGACAUUAAACAAUGGGAAGAGCUCACAUAUGAUUAUAGAUUUUUCUCAAUAGAUGAGCGGCUUUCUUGUUACUGUGGCUUCCCAAAAUGUCGAGGUGUAGUAAAUGAUACUGAGGCAGAAGAGCGAGCGGGUACCCGAUAUGCACCACGAAGUGAAUUAGUAGAUUGGAAAGGAGAAUGAGAUUUUUAAUCCUAAAUUAUGCCAUGGAUUCUUGAAGAUAGACCGUUUGUCCAACAACUUCUGUCAUGAAUUCUGCCAUUUUCCGAAAGUACAGUGUAGUACAUAAGUCAUCUGAUUCUCCCCAUUAAUCCAUAACCCCAACUGAGCUGUUUAUGUUGGCUCAAGGUGGUUUCCUCAGUAUUCUGGUUAUGGGUAUUACAAGAUUGCAUAAAUGAAGAUGACAUCCUUGAGAAAUCUAUGAGUGGAAAUGGAAACACUUGCACAAAUGCCUUGUCAAUUUGUUGUAUUCUUUUAGUUACUUUGCUUAACAAUUAGAGAAUUUUUAGGCUUUUUAAAAUAUAAUUUGUAAGAGCCUCAUUUUAGAAUUCAAAUGGAAAAAUCAUUGAUUAUACUGAAAUCGGAUUGUGAUUCAUAUUAAAUUUUACUUCUAAUAUCAGAGAAUAAAUCCUGUGAUUAUA
Molecule: RNA transcript, 4081 nt
Organism: Medicago truncatula (barrel medic)
Lineage: Eukaryota; Viridiplantae; Streptophyta; Magnoliopsida; Fabales; Fabaceae
Gene name: histone-lysine N-methyltransferase ATX2
Exons: 26
Source: RefSeq, a predicted model, not a curated record